Molecule: unclassified non-coding RNA, 367 nt
Filed under: uncultured Ascomycota
Lineage: Eukaryota; Fungi; Ascomycota
Description: sequence contains ITS2
Rfam family: 5.8S ribosomal RNA (bases 1-154)
Source: RNAcentral
AACUUUUGGCAACGUAUCUCUUGGUUCUGGCAUCGAUGAAGAACGCAGCGAAAUGCGAUAAGUAGUGUGAAUUGCAGAAUUCAGUGAAUCAUCGAAUCUUUGAACGCACAUUGCGCCCUUCGGUAUUCCGUUGGGCAUGCCUGUUCGAGCGUCAUUUAAUCAUUCAAGCUCUGCUUGGUGUUGGGUGUUUGUUCCGCCUCAGCGCGUGGACUCGCCUUAAAUUCAUUGGCAGCCGGUAUGUUGGCUUCGUGCGCAGCACAUUGCGUCGCGAUUCUGGCAGGCCUCCUCCCAUUAAGCUUCUUUUAAGUUUGACCUCGGAUCAGGUAGGGAUACCCGCUGAACUUAAGCAUAUCAAUAAGCGGAGGCU